AGCAGGGAGCCAGGUUGGGGAUGUGGGAAGGCAGAAGUCCCAGGGAUCCUGGGGGAGGCUCAGGUUGUACCUGCAGGCCACAGUCUCCUCGACAGACCUCGGGAGGAGGUUGUAAGUGUUUUAAAGAAACCACAGCAGCAGAGGAGAGAGACUCAGAAGCCCGUGGCACGGCUUUGUGGGUGUCCCCUCCAGCGAUGGGGGCUCCAUUGCUGCAGUUGCUGGUUUUGUCCAACCAGCAUUUAUAGCCCUCCAGUAAGUUAUUCCUUGGAGUUCUCACAGAGCAGCAUGGGCCUGCGGCAAAGCCCUCACCUCCAGCCCCUGGACCACCUGACUGCUGGCUCCAAACACGGCCACCGCCUCUUUUGUUAACAGGACAGUUGAUCCAUUAAAUUAAAAAUCAUUCA
This 404-nucleotide long non-coding RNA is filed under the name Pongo abelii (Sumatran orangutan). RNAcentral's name for it is "lincRNA". Lineage: Eukaryota; Metazoa; Chordata; Mammalia; Primates; Hominidae. The record is from RNAcentral.